UCGGCAAUGGGCGAAAGCCUGACCGAGCGACGCCGCGUGCGGGAUGAAGGCCUUCGGGUUGUAAACCGCUGUCGUAGAGGAGGAAGUGCAAGAGGGUUCUCCCUUUUGUUUGACCUAUUCUAGGAGGAAGUACGGGCUAAGUUCGUGCCAGCAGCCGCGGUAAGACGAACCGUACGAACGUUAUUCGGAAUUACUGGGCUUAAAGGGUGCGUAGGCGGUGCGGUAAGUUGGGUGUGAAAGCCCUCAGCUCAACUGAGGAAUUGCACUCAAAACUACCGUGCUAGAGGGAGACAGAGGUAAACGGAACUCAAGGUGGAGCGGUGAAAUGCGUUGAUAUCUUGAGGAACACCGGUGGCGAAGGCGGCUUACUGGGUCUUUUCUGACGCUGAGGCACGAAAGCCAAGGUAGCAAACGGGAUUAGAUACCCCGGUAGUCUUGGCUGUAAACGAUGAGCACUUGAUUGAAGGGUCCUCCAUAGCCUUUCAGUCGUAGCGAAAGUGUUAAGUGCUCCGCCUGGGGAGUAUGGUCGCAAGGCUGAAACUCAAAGAA
This 549-nucleotide ribosomal RNA is filed under the name uncultured bacterium. Its description in RNAcentral is "bacterial SSU rRNA". It matches the Rfam family "Bacterial small subunit ribosomal RNA", at positions 365 to 908 of the family's 1533-position model. The record is from RNAcentral.